UAAUAUAUAUAUAUAUAUAUAUAUAUAUAUAUAUAUAAUUUACUGAAGCACUAGAUUAUGCUAGAGGGGUAUUAGGCCCAAACUACUAUAUCUCUCCCACUCUUAAACAAAAUCCAGACAAAAUUUCUCAAUACCAUAUUCAGAAAGACACAGAUAAAAUUAUAUUUUGCGAUCAUUGUUUUUCAAUGACUGAAGCUUUCAAGAGACUAAAUCUCAAAAACGAAUUACUAGCUCAAGAAAAUCUCCAGCUAAAAGACAGGAUGACAAAAAUGGAGAAUGACUUAAAGAUAAAAGACAAUCAGAUCAAUAUACAGGGUUUUCCAUCCCUAAUAAAAAUGGAGGAGAUGGGUGUACAUUCGCCUCUGAAUGUAAAUAAAUCUACUGUAUCGGAUAAAGAUACAGCUAGUCCGGUUCAAACGGUAGCCGGUAAAGACUCCUUAAAUCUGUUAAUGGCUGUCACUUUGCCAAAAAGUGAAAAAGAAGAGAGCUCAUCCUCAAGAAGACAACUACCAAUUUCUUUUAGCAAAAAAAUCAGACAAAAAACCAAAAAAUCACAAAAAAAUAAAGACUUAGAAUCCAUCAUAACCAAGACUGUAGAAAAACUACUUAAAGAACAACAAGACAAAGACAAACAUAUAAACCCCAGCCCAAUACAAAGCCUAAGACAAAAUUCAGAUUUAAGCCCAAAUAAUUUAGAUGGUUUUUCAGACACUAUGCAAUUUGCUCAAGACCCAAACGACUAUGAUUCGGGUAUGAGUUUUGAUUCCAUUGCUUUACACAACUUAGACACACAAAUAAAUAAAUAAAAAAUAAAAAUACAGUCAAAAAGAGGAAUGCCUCUUUGGUCAACAAUGUGAGUCCCACUUUACUCACCACCACACAUUUGUGGAAAAACUGUUGGGACGCGUCUUUAUGUUAUUUUAAAAUAGACAGGCAUUAAGAAAUAAAGUUUCUUUUUGAAUAAAGACAAAUAAAAAGGAGAUAAUGGAAUAGAAAUAAUUCAGACAAAGGACGGAUGAUAAUGCAAAAGAAGGAAUCAUUUCACGUGCCAUGGGCCCAAUGCGCACCCGGCGGAAAAGAUGAAAUUAUUUUUCAUUCUGAAGUCCGAAGUUUGAAGUCCAUAUUUGUGUAUAUAUAGAAGACAUUAUUAGAAGAAGAAGGAGUGUGGAAGAAAAGCAAGAAGAGCAAAAAUCUACAACCCGCAAAUCAUCCCUCCAAAGAUCUUUUUUUUUAAAAAAAUAAUAUAUAUAUAUAUAUAUAUAUAUAUAUAUAUAUAUAUAUAUAUAUAUAAAUAUUUUCUUUAGGUUCUUAGAUCUUGUUUCAAGUUUUUGUAAAGUUACUUUGAAAGUCGUUCGGGUUUCCCGAAAGGGAAACUUCACUCUGUUCUAAUAAUAUUCUUCAUUUAUGAGGGGUAAAGAUACAGAGUUUUUUCCUAAUACCGAUAAUUGUUCCUCUCUAUAAUGUCUAUAUAAUUGAGAUUUUGAAUUUGUAUUAUAUAAAACUUUUGGAUUUAAUAAAUUUAAUUGAUUCUGUUGGAAAAUUUGUAUAUCUUUAUCUGUAUCUAUAAUUUCGUCUAAUUGUUGACUAUUUUCUUC
Molecule: long non-coding RNA, 1595 nt
Organism: Solanum lycopersicum (tomato)
Lineage: Eukaryota; Viridiplantae; Streptophyta; Magnoliopsida; Solanales; Solanaceae
Source: RefSeq, a predicted model, not a curated record